GUUUUUAAGUGUAUCUUAAUAUAUACAUUUUUUAGGACAUCUUAAAUCUAAACAAAAAAUAAAAUGAACAUCUCUUGAAACCUGUUAAAACAACCAGUUAAAGCCACAGAUGGCUUUCAGGGCAGUAGCAGCAGAGGCCAGUGGACUCUGAGGACUCCUGAGGGGCGGGGCGUGUAGCCAGCCAGGUGCAUGCCGGGACCAUGGCCCCCAUACUUGGCUGCUUCCUGUGACAGUGAAAUACAUCCUUCAAGGUGGCAGCUGUUAGGGCUGAAUCUUCUGGAGAAAAAGGCAGCCUGAACACUCAGUUGCAGGGUCGGGCUUGCGGUGGGUGACCCAGAGCCACCAAAGUCACAUCCACAA
This 360-nucleotide long non-coding RNA is filed under the name Homo sapiens (human). RNAcentral describes it as "non-protein coding lnc-RNF187-3:3". The record is from RNAcentral. Lineage: Eukaryota; Metazoa; Chordata; Mammalia; Primates; Hominidae.